AUGGUAAUACAAGUGAUCAAGGUUUACACACCACGCAUAUUUGAAGAUUUUCAGAAUGAAUACGAAAGAUCUAUCUCAGCAUACAUCAAGCCAUCGAUAGAACACAAUGCAUAUAUUGUUGCAAUUGCAAGUCUUGACUCAGAAUUCACAUAUGAAGAAGAGUGCAAAGUUGUAGUUGAUUAUGAAGAGCAAAAAGUUUUCUGCAAUUGUGGGCAAUUCGAAAGAGUUGGUAUAUUGUGUAGUCAUGCUUUGAAAGCACUUGAUGUCAUGAAUAUUAAGUACCUUCCAGGUCACUAUAUUUUGAAGCGAUGGACUCGAGAAGCGCGAAGCGGAACUAUACAAAACAGCCAUGGAAACAUUGUUUUGGAAGAUCCUAGAUCAGAAGACAGACAGCAGUUGAAUUUUUUCAUGCACGAGUUCCUUGGCAUAGCUUCACAAGCAGUUACAUCAGAACAGUGUAUCAAACUAGUAGAUGAUGCUUUGAAGAAUCUUAGGAAGCAAGUUGAAGAGAAAGCUCGUACUACUAGCAUAACUGAAGAUAUAUCUAAAGUUCCAAACGAUGGUUUAAAGGAUGCUUGCCUAAAGAAAAAGGAAAUUCCAAAGAAAAAUCCAGGAAGAAAGAAAUCAUGGCUUGACAUUCAGCACCCAAAUAAAAAGAAGAAGGAGACAACUAAAGCGGUACCCAAAAGUCAAAAUCAUUCUGUAAAUCUCUUGCAUAUGUCUAACCGGACAACUUAUUAA
Molecule: ribosomal RNA, 741 nt
Filed under: Triticum aestivum (bread wheat)
Lineage: Eukaryota; Viridiplantae; Streptophyta; Magnoliopsida; Poales; Poaceae
Description: partial small subunit ribosomal RNA
Source: RNAcentral